GAUGAACGCUGGCGGCGUGCCUAAUACAUGCAAGUCGAGCGAACAGACGAGGAGCUUGCUCCUCUGACGUUAGCGGCGGACGGGUGAGUAACACGUAGAUAACCUACCUAUAAGACUGGGAUAACUUCGGGAAACCGGAGCUAAUACCGGAUAAUAUAUUGAACCGCAUGGUUCAAUAGUGAAAGACGGUUUUGCUGUCACUUCUAGAUGGAUCCGCGCCGAAUUAGCUAGUUGGUAAGGUAACGGCUUACCAAGGCAACGAUGCGUAGCCGACCUGAGAGGGUGAUCGGCCACACUGGAACUGAGACACGGUCCAGACUCCUACGGGAGGCAGCAGUAGGGAAUCUUCCGCAAUGGGCGAAAGCCUGACGGAGCAACGCCGCGUGAGUGAUGAAGGUCUUCGGAUCGUAAAACUCUGUUAUUAGGGAAGAACAAAUGUGUAAGUAACUAUGCACGUCUUGACGGUACCUAAUCAGAAAGCCACGGCUAACUACGUG
This 497-nucleotide ribosomal RNA is filed under the name uncultured bacterium. RNAcentral's name for it is "partial 16S ribosomal RNA". It matches the Rfam family "Bacterial small subunit ribosomal RNA", at positions 28 to 507 of the family's 1533-position model. The record is from RNAcentral.